UGGGGAAUAUUGCGCAAUGGGGGAACCCGUGACGCAGCAACGCCGCGUGAAGGAUGAAGGUUUUCGGAUUGUAAACUUCUUUGAUGAGGGACGAAAGAAAUGACGGUACCUCAAAAACAAGCCACGGCUAACUACGUGCCAGCAGCCGCGGUAAUACGUAGGUGGCGAGCGUUGUCCGGAAUUACUGGGUGUAAAGGGCGUGUAGGCGGGGAUGUAAGUCAGAUGUGAAAUACCGUGGCUUAACUACGGGGCUGCAUCUGAAACUAUGUUUCUUGAGUGUCGGAGAGGAAAGUGGAAUUCCCAGUGUAGCGGUGAAAUGCGUAGAUAUUGGGAGGAACACCAGUGGCGAAGGCGACUUUCUGGACGAUAACUGACGCUGAGGCGCGAAAGCGUGGGGAGCAAACAGGAUUAGAUACCCUGGUAGUCCACGCUGUAAAA
Molecule: ribosomal RNA, 438 nt
Filed under: uncultured bacterium
Lineage: Bacteria
Description: partial 16S ribosomal RNA
Rfam family: Bacterial small subunit ribosomal RNA
Source: RNAcentral